GUGAAAUGAUCUGAAGGAUUGCUGUUAUUCAAUCAUCCCAUUUAUUUUUGCUCUGACCUUUCCCAAAGGUUCACUCACCCUUGUCCUCCGUCGAGUCAGCUGGGCUCGCCCACCUGCCCACUCCCCUUGGACUUCCCCCACGGCGUCCUCCCGGCUUUCCCUUGUGCCUUGCCAGUCAGCCUGCCACCACACUCCUUCCCCCCUCGGCCUCCUGUUUCCCCUGGCUCUCUCGCCUGGACUUCGCCUGCCUCGACAGCUCCUCGGUCCCUCACGCCCGUGUCCCCUGGUGUCCAUCUGUUCUCCACCUCCAGCCCUUUUUCCCUCAAUAAAUCGCUUAAAAUAC
Molecule: long non-coding RNA, 343 nt
Organism: Micropterus dolomieu (smallmouth bass)
Lineage: Eukaryota; Metazoa; Chordata; Actinopteri; Centrarchiformes; Centrarchidae
Exons: 2
Source: RefSeq, a predicted model, not a curated record